GGAGGGACCAGCUCAGUGGCAGAGCGCAUGCUUAGCAUGCAUGAGUUCCUGGGUUCAAUCCUCGGUACCUCCA
This 73-nucleotide transfer RNA is filed under the name Camelus bactrianus (Bactrian camel). It matches the Rfam family "tRNA". From Rfam's summary of the family: Transfer RNA (tRNA) molecules are approximately 80 nucleotides in length. Their secondary structure includes four short double-helical elements and three loops (D, anti-codon, and T loops). Lineage: Eukaryota; Metazoa; Chordata; Mammalia; Artiodactyla; Camelidae. RNAcentral also lists the same sequence under 2 other names. The record is from Rfam by way of RNAcentral.